This 72-nucleotide transfer RNA is filed under the name Marmota monax (woodchuck). Its description in RNAcentral is "tRNA.Val". The record is from RNAcentral. Lineage: Eukaryota; Metazoa; Chordata; Mammalia; Rodentia; Sciuridae.
GGUGGCAUAGAUCAGUGGAAGAACACUUGCCUAACAUGAAUAAGACACUGGGUUCAAUUUCCAGUACCAUUC